This 66-nucleotide transfer RNA is filed under the name Rabdotus mooreanus. Its description in RNAcentral is "tRNA-Pro". The record is from RNAcentral. Lineage: Eukaryota; Metazoa; Mollusca; Gastropoda; Stylommatophora; Orthalicidae.
UUAAAAGUAAUUUAAUAAUAAAAUAUUAACUUUGGGAGUUGACAAUUAGGGAAACCUACUUUUAAA